GUGUUGUAUGAAUAGAGAGAAGGUUAGCCCCUCCUUGACAAGCAUGGACAAGGCUUUGGGGCUUGGCAACAUGAAUUCAGGGCAUUUUUACCUACACUGUGGCAUCUAACUAUCAUUUUUU
Oryctolagus cuniculus (rabbit) is the source of this 121-nucleotide small nuclear RNA. The record is from Ensembl. NCBI's taxonomy places the organism in Eukaryota, Metazoa, Chordata, Mammalia, Lagomorpha, Leporidae.